UCCUCAGAUUCGGUUUGCCGCUCUAAAA
This 28-nucleotide non-coding RNA is filed under the name Mus musculus (house mouse). Lineage: Eukaryota; Metazoa; Chordata; Mammalia; Rodentia; Muridae. The record is from RNAcentral.